RNAcentral lists this ribosomal RNA (322 nucleotides) under uncultured eukaryote. Its description in RNAcentral is "partial 18S ribosomal RNA". It matches the Rfam family "Eukaryotic small subunit ribosomal RNA", at positions 1470 to 1796 of the family's 1831-position model. The record is from RNAcentral.
CCCUUAGAUGUUCUGGGCCGCACGCGUGCUACACUGAGUGGAUCAGCGGGUCAGGUUGCGCGAAAGCGUUUCCUAAUCUUUAAAUCCGCUCGUGAUGGGGAUUGACGGUUGCAAUUUUCUGUCAUGAACGAGGAAUACCUUGUAAGCGCGGGUCAUCAUCCCGCGCUGAAUACGUCCCUGCCCUUUGUACACACCGCCCGUCUCUCCUACCGAUUGAGUGGUCCGGUGAGGCUUUGGGAUCUGAGCGGAAAGAGCGUUUCGCUGUUUCUGCUCGGAAAACUCAGUCGAACCUUAUCAUUUAGAGGAAGGAGAAGUCGUAACA